RNAcentral lists this ribosomal RNA (465 nucleotides) under uncultured bacterium. RNAcentral describes it as "partial 16S ribosomal RNA". It matches the Rfam family "Bacterial small subunit ribosomal RNA", at positions 28 to 507 of the family's 1533-position model. The record is from RNAcentral.
GACGAACGCUGGCGGCGUGCUUAACACAUGCAAGUCGAACGGAAAGGCCCCUUUGGGGGUCCUCGAGUGGCGAACGGGUGAGUAACACGUGAGUAACCUGCCCUUGCCUUCGGGUUAACUUCAGGAAACUGGGGCUAAUACCGGAUAGGAAUCCUUGCUGCAUGGUGGGGGUUGGAAAGCUUCGGCGGUUUUGGGUGGACUGGCGGCUUAUCAGCUUGUUGGUGGGGUUGGGGCUUACCAAGGCUUUGACGGGUAGCCGGCCUGAGAGGGCGACCGGCCACAUUGGGGCUGAGAUACGGCCCAGACUCCUACGGGGGGCAGCAGGGGGGAAUAUUGCACAAUGGGCGGAAGCCUGAUGCAGGAACGCCGCGUGCGGGAAGACGGGCUUCGGGUUGGAAACCGCUUUCAGCAGGGGCGAAGCUUGUGGUGACGGUACCUGCAGAAGAAGCACCGGCUAACUACGUG